This 5203-nucleotide long non-coding RNA is filed under the name Salvia miltiorrhiza (redroot sage). Its description in RNAcentral is "long non-coding RNA (SMIL_LNC005160)". The record is from RNAcentral. Lineage: Eukaryota; Viridiplantae; Streptophyta; Magnoliopsida; Lamiales; Lamiaceae.
AAAGAAGCCCAAGUGCCUUGGAAUCUAUUUUUCCUGAAGUUGAUUUUCUAUUAUCUUUGUUUAAGAAUUCAUGUAUGCAGUUGGUUAAUCUUAGGAAACAGGUGAAUCUUUCAGCUAAUUUCCUUUCAGUGUUCUGCUAUUCACUAGAUGAUCUCCCUAAUAUUGAUGUUUGUUCUCAGAUUGAUCAGAAACUCUAGAAUGAUAAAACUGAAAUUUCUGCUCAAGACUCUAAGCAUCGGAAAACGCUUUCUGAGGUUAGUUAGCUUGGUUUAAUAGAUUAUUAUUCUAUUUAUAUGAAGGCACGAGGGCAUGCAGCAUGUUGCUAACUGUUGCUGUUUCUUUUUCCAUAUUUACAUGCAGCCGGAAAAAUGUGUUGAUGGCUUGUUUGAUAGUUUUGCAAGGUUGGAUUCACGUAUAUAUAGUGUUGUUCAAACUGCUGCUAACGUAGGAGACCACCUGCAGGUAAAGGUAAAGCCUGUAUAAAGAAAUCUCGAUUUUGGGUGGCUCGGGGAGCCGAAAUCUCGAUUUUGGGAUGGAAACGGUUCGGCGAGGAAAUUUCACCACAUGUUCCCCAUCAUGAAAGAUUACCAAGAGUCCAAGAAUCAUGCAAUUCAGACGUGUAACGAGGGAGAUAUUGGCAAAUUACAAUAAUGACGAUACCUCGGUGUUUAUUCGUUCAUUGAACUGAUUGCCAUGAUAGGGAUGCGAGUGUUUGAGAUAGUAAAUAUCUGCAUUAAAUUUCUUUUAUUGAUGCUUUGCGUCACACCCCAAUUCAUAUAAAUAACACAAGAGAAAAAUCCUUGUUGAAACCGAAAAGAAGGUAACAAGUCAGGCUAGGCCCCUUUGGAUCACAAGUUUUGUUUCAUGCUUCUGAUAACCAGUAUCAUUUGCAUAAAAUUAUGAGUUAAGUGUUUAAGCUCAAUCAGAGAUGCCGCUCUAAAUCUAACAUGAAAGUCUUAAGUUGAGAAAACAAAAGACAAAUAAGAGUUAUUGUUAUAGCGGAAGUCUAAAAUAGAAAGUUGAACCAUAGCCUCAGCUCGUCCCGUCAGCAACGACCGGCCAACCUGAAAAACAUUUGAAAGUAUUUUUAGGUUAAGUACUAAUGUACUCAGUGGGCAUGCAUUUUCUGAAACAUUUCAUAUUUUCGUAAAGACAGUUUAUCCAAUCAUAAUUGACAUAACUUAGAAGGUUUUAAAUUGAAAGAACUUCUAAGCAUGUUAAAAUAAUUUCUUUUAUUUGUGCGCACAUGUCACACUCCCUUUCUAUUACUCGCUGUGAUCCCGGACCUUUUAGCCAUCGUUAGAUCCAUUUCUCCCAUUUACUUGAACUGAGGGCGUAACCCAGACAAGUUUCAUUUGACCUCGGGACGCUACCCAGGCAGGCCUUACAUUACAUGCUCCGGAACACAUCCAGCAAGCACCCUUAUAACGUCUAUUAGUUAGUGCCCGAUGGAGAUCAACCCACUAGGUCAGCUAACGAGUGUACAUAAUUCUCAAAUAACGUGUUAGGCCAUAAGAGAACCUUGAACGAUUCGUUGUGGCGAGCCUUAAACAGAGCAGAGUGCACAUAAACAUUUUAUCGGAUAAACAGUUUGCAUUUCAUUGAAUAAACAAUUUACAUUUCAUUGAAACAUUUAGAGCUUAAUAACUCAUUCAUACUUUAUACAUUUGGAAAGUAAGCCUACCUGAUUAGGCAAUGUCUGCAGUUUUACUCAUAACUCUGAAUAGGAAUAGCGACGCUAAUUCUCCUGAACCACAAAGCCUACAAGAAAUCUAUUAUUAAUAGGUCUCUCGAAUGUAAUCUUAAGUCAUAGUGAAAGUGCUUAACAUUUUAUGAUUCACCAAGUCGAAUUUUCAAAAUUUAAUCAUAAAUACUUGAAAAUUUAAAUCCUGAGCUAAGGACACCAACAAUAUCCUUGUUCGAUUUUCUUUGAUGAUUGGAUUUAUGAAAAAUCAAUUUAAAUCAUAAAUACUCUUAUUGUUCAAAUACUUAAUGCAAAUAAUUUCAUGCUUAAUCAUAUAAUAAGUAAUUGCAGCAUGUAUGUACAUAAUAAUAUUAUUAUGCAAUUCAUUCUUUAACAUAAAUAAUUAAACUAAUUAAUAGUCUAAUUAAAUAAUAAAUUUAGGCUUAAAUCAAUAAUCCAAUUAAAGAAGUUAAUUGGCAGCCCAAUAAUUUAAAGAGUAAAAUUUUGAAGUAGCCAAAAUGAAGCAUAAAACACAAUUUAUGGCCACACAUUGAAAAAACACAAAUUUUGGCCAUUUUUAUAGCUUUGGGACGCUUUUGCCCUUAAUUGGGCGGACUGGGUAGGGUCAGACACGCGGGUCGCGUGCCGGGUCGGGUUAGGCACUUAUGGCACUAUUAGUGCCAUAAGUGCCAAGAUGGCACUUAUGGCACUAAUAGUGCCAUAAGUGCCAUCGAAAAUCCAAAAUAAAACCAAGUAAAAUAGUCAUUUUGGCACUUAUGUCACUAUUAGUGCCAUAAGUGCCAACGAAAUUCAAAAUAAAACUAAGUAAAAUGGUCAUCAGCACAAAUACAGAAACAACAACAUCAUUUAAACCCUAAAUGGAACAUCUAAACCCUAAAUGGGUAAUCUAAACCCUAAAUGGAACAUCUAAACCCCAAAUGAAUAAUCUAAACCCUAAAUGGAAUAUCUAAACCCUAGGGGGAAGUGUGCACUUAUGGCACUUAUGGCACUAUUAGUGCCAUAAGUGCCAUCUUGGCACUUAUGGCACUAAUAGUGCCAUAAGUGCCUAACCCGACCCGGCACGCGACCCGCGUGUCUGAUCCUACCCAGUCCGCCUCAUUAAGGGCAAAAGCGUCCAAAUCAAUAAAAAUGGCCAAAAUUUGUGUUUUUUCAAAUGGUGGACAAAAUUUGAUUUUCAUUCUUCAUUAUGGCCAUUUGGGUGGAUUGUUUCUAAUUUAAAUGCAGAUUCACCCAAGUAAAAUAAAUAGGGCAGCCCACAUUCUUUAAAAUAAUUCAGACCCAAGAGUUUAAUUAAAAUGGUGUGGCCCAACCACAAAUUAAUUCUGCAGCCCAAACUUUAAUAAUUCCGGCCCAAAACAGAUGGCCCAACACCCCAACCCUAUUCCUCUUAUUCCUAUCACAAGAUAGGUUUCAAUCUCUCCCUCAGCACCAAAACUCGCCCUCUCUCUAAUCUCUCUCAAACCUUACUGAAUCAGGCCCUCUCUCAAAACCUCGCCGCCACGGCUCCUCCUCCGGCCACGAACGCCGCCGGCCACUCCUCUCCCGACUCCCUCGACUCUAUUUCACUCAAGGUUGGCCACACACACACGGACCCACACACGCCGCCCCUCUCCCGACUCCCUUCAUCUUCUCCCUCAUCUCCGGCCACACCGGCGCCCCAUAUCCCUCUCUUUCUCGGCGGCAGCAACCGCCGCCACGGUCACCGCCUCAUCUCCCUUACCCCUCUGCUCUCGCCUCCUCUCUGACCCAGAACGGCGACGGUGAGGGACUCCGCCGUCUGAGCCCUAGCCCCAAUCACGGCUCCUCUCAAUUUCUGGCAACGACGCCGCCCCUACGCAGCGCUGCCUCCAUCCGUUCUCCCUCAUCUCAAAGCCUCGCCGGACAGACUACAGCAGCAGCCGUGCCACCGCAGUCGACGCCCGGUCUCCCUCCAUCUCUUCCCUCUGAACUCCGGUGAUAAAACAAAGCCCUGAGGCUGUUGCCCACCUUCCCUGACUCGACUCAGCAGCUACAACAACACCCACCCGACUCAACUCGGUACCCACCGACUCAGUUCGACUCAAGCAUCACAAAAUAGAGUUCAAAAGCUAAAAUCCAGAUUAUUCAAGUCAAAGUUCUUUUCUUUAAAACUAUUUGUGAAGUUGUCAUUCCUUUUGAAAUCUUUGUUCUGCUAUACACAAAAUAUACAUAUAUGCAGCUGUUAUUCAUGUACGGCAUUUUGGUUUCAUUUGAAAUAUAUGUGUAUAUAUAUCGAGAUGAAUGUAUGUGUGUUAUAGCUGAAAUUAGAACUAAAGUUACAGAAAUUUAAAAGUUAAAAACCUUUGGAAAACUUGCUGAUGGUUGGUUGCUUGAAAUUUGGUGGAGGCUUGAAUUAGCUCAGCACUUGAAACUCCUCUUUCUUGCGAAAUGUUGAUUGAAUUUGUUAGAAAUGAAGAAGGAUGGAUUGAUUUUGCAGAGAGUGUUUUGUGAUGAUGUUAAAGGGGCAUAGUUGGUGGAAAGUAAGGAGUGAUGGUAAGUUUGGACUUUGAAAUUAUACAAAACUACUGUUUUUUGAUUUGUCUGUUUACCGCAUUAUAUCGUGUUACUAGUGUUUCUAUCGUCCCAAUGUCGUUUGUAUUGAGGCAAAUUAUAAUAAUGACGAUACCUCGGUGUUUAUUCGUUCACUGAACUGAUUGCCAUGAUAGGGAUGCGAGUGUUUGAGAUAGUAUAUGUCUGCAUUAAAUUUCUUUUAUUGAUGCUUUGAAUAGUUUAUGAUUUCAUACUUUUGUUGUUUUUGAAUUUGUUAGUGGAGUUUUUCUCAUAAUCUCUUGCUGUUCACAUUCCAGGUUAACGAAUACGCACUAUUGGCUUUAUUUUGCUGAAGAAAAAUGUUCGGAAGCAACCGUAAGUUCUGUUUCCCUUAACUUAGUCGGUUCUUAUUUGAUUGUUUUGUAUUGCCACAUUGGUUGUUCUCCUCUAUUAUCUUCCUGUGGAUAACUCUCCGCUUUUUACCUUUGAAUAUAUCCCUUGACAACAAAUUCCUAAAUUAAAUCUGUUAUAUGGUUAGGUAAUGAUAAUAACAUUGGCUACUUGAGAUCAAAUGUUUAAUUUUUUUAUUUGAGAUUUGGGAGAGUACACAAUUAAAAAUAUUUUAUAUGUUCCUGGGUUAUGCUUGUACAUCCUGAUUUUUUCUGGGUUAUGCUUGUACAUCCUGAUUUUUCCUUUGUUCUGUUACAGCUUUUGGGCUGUCAUCUAGUUUUUAUUAAAACCCAUGCCGUCCACCUUUACGACUAUUUUUGGUGGACGGAGGGAGUAUUUUUUUAUUUCUUUUUCUUUUUCUCUAUUUAUAAAAAUUGUAGUAUAAUUUAACUAAUGAUAAAAUAUUUCCUUUCAGUGUUCUGCUAUUCACUAGAUGAUCUCCCUAAUAUUGAUGUUUGUUCUCAGAUUGAUCAGAAACUCUAGAAUGAUAAAACUGAAAUUUCUGCUCAAGACUCUAAGCAUCGGAAAACGCUUUCUGAG